AUUGAACGCUGGCGGCAUGCUUUACACAUGCAAGUCGAACGGUAACAGGCCGCAAGGUGCUGACGAGUGGCGAACGGGUGAGUAAUUCAUCGGAACGUGCCCAGUCGUGGGGGAUAACUACUCUAAAGAGUAGCUAAUACCGCAUACGAUAUAUGGAUGAAAGCGGGGGACCGUAAGGCCUCGCGCGAUUGGAGCGGCCGAUGUCGGAUUAGGUAGUGGGUGGGGUAAAGGCUGACCAAGCCAACGAUCUGUAGCGGGUCUGAGAGGACGACCAGCCACACUGGGACUGAGACACGGCCCAGACUCCUACGGGAGGCCGCAGUGGGGAAUUUUGGACAAUGGGCGCAAGCCUGAUCCAGCAAUGCCGCGUGCAGGAAGAAGGCCUUCGGGUUGUAAACUGCUUUUGUACGGAACGAAACGGCUCUGGUUAAUACCCGGGGCUAAUGACGGUACCGUAAGAAUAAGCACCGGCUAACUACGUG
RNAcentral lists this ribosomal RNA (482 nucleotides) under uncultured bacterium. RNAcentral describes it as "partial 16S ribosomal RNA". It matches the Rfam family "Bacterial small subunit ribosomal RNA", at positions 30 to 507 of the family's 1533-position model. The record is from RNAcentral.